Non-coding RNA from Dermacentor albipictus, 8607 nucleotides. The record is from RefSeq and is a predicted model, not a curated record. NCBI's taxonomy places the organism in Eukaryota, Metazoa, Arthropoda, Arachnida, Ixodida, Ixodidae.
UUGAAAAAGUUGGCAGGUAUGUAUUAUGACAUUGAUGCAGAAAACAUUCAUUUUGCCAUUAAAGAAAGUCCUGUAUGCAUUCACUUUUUCAUCUUCCCUCUUGUGUUUGGGCCUUCAUUGGUCUGCAUUGUGCAACAGGUAAAAUGAUGAGAAAUAUAACUAAAGACAAAUAAAAUCCUAGCCUGCUAACAUACGCCUGCUCAGUACACUAUUGACACGCUCUGGUUUAUUAAGCGUGCUCACCUGUCAAUUCAGGCACAGAAGCAGGUCCUGUUCUUGAGCUGAAACAUACACAGCCAUGCUUACAUAGGAAACAACUUUCAGGAGGCCAAUUAUUGACACGCAUUGCAGAUAGUACUAUGGAUCAAGCAUGAAGCUGACCACAAUGCCCUCGAACUCUUCCCAACAUACAUAUAUUUUCUAGCAUCCUGGGCCAACCUUCUGGCCAUGCUUUGAAGCUGCUGUCAGGUUUCGAACCAAGCCCAAUCUUUCUGGCUUUGUUGUCCUCCUCGUCGUACCAUUUCCCCCCUCAUUUAUGUUUGUCUUAUUGAGAUAGAUAUUAUGUGAUGAUUUUUCAUUUGUGUGUAGUAUGGGCAAAAUCAAUUUAGAAUAAAACAAGCCACCCAGCUAUUUUUAUGGCCUAAUUGUUUUUGCGCUCAUUGAUCAUGGAGACCUACCUGCACGGCUGCAUGUAUAUGGCAACUAAGUUCUCGUCAGAUGUUAUGUGAAUAUUUAAUUAAUAAACUUCAUUUACAUUUCUGCGCAGCACAGACCCAUUGCGGCUGCAACUAUACUGAGCUGCAUGGCUGUUCGCAGCAUCAUUACGGAAUAAAAUCUGCCAGUCUUUAUUUAAUAAACAGUCAACAUAGUGAAUAACCGAAUACUAUUUUGUAUAUUCUAAAUUUAAGUACUUUAUGGCUUGCACUGUCGUGUUCUUAUAACUUUGGCAGGCCUAAAAAUCUCAACAGACCAUCUAACUAUGUGGAGUGAUUUUUUAGCCAUUACAUAUUCAUUGCGUUUGCCUGUUUUCCACAUGGCUACCAAUAAUCAGUAGAUAUCAUGUCGGUUAUUUAUAUUUGGAAUUGGUGACUUUCCAAAAACCUCAUAGUACCCCCCCCCCCCCCCCCAAAAAAAAAAUCCAUCGCAUACAUGCAAUAAAAGUUUAAUGCACCCAUGGAAGGGGAAGUAAAUCGUAAAGAUUUAAGUUAGAAGCUGAGAGUAAGAUGGUAUUUCGGCGUGAACAGCAGACUACAACAAAUAAAGCAGCGGCACAAAACAAAGCGAAUGAAAAAAGUAUUGUUCAGCCAAUAAAAACAUUUCACUGUUGCUGCAAGGUGAGAAGAGGGAAGCAGCCCUGCACUCACCCCAGCAACUACAGGCUUGACCGAAGGGUCCAAGACAUCUCGAACAUAAUGUCCACACUUGGCCAAAGAAGCGGGAACCAUAUCGAGAAGCUUGUGUUCUGGCCACAGAAGCGGGAGCUCACAGGCCUUGUGUUAGAAUUCUGUAGCCUGGUGAAGUUACAAACCGUACUCUUGUAGCGAUGUGUUGGCCAGGUUUUGACUGGUUGCCCUGGUCCAGUGAAGUGUUGACUGCAUGUCUUCAGCACAAUCCAUGGGGCAACCUUCCUAUGUGGCUUUCAUCCAUGUUCCAGCUAUUCCCUUCAUUUUUGUCACCUGGGGCUUCGUGGUCCGCAGUGAUUAGUCCCUUACUUAAUAUGUACAAAUAGGUCCUUUAAUUUUCCUGUUUUCUUGCCUUGAAUGCCCUCAUACCUAUUGCAAACAGAAAAGGAAGAUAGCACCACUCUUCUAUCAUGAUCGUUCACAUUAGAGUUCCAUUAAAGGAGCAAGAUCAGGGUAUCCAUGGCAUCUGUCUCGAUUCUUUACAUUUUGUGCCAUAAUACCCAGGACUCGUACUGUGGCUGCAGGCGUCAUCUGUAAGUUUGGGAGGUGGGAGCACCUUCUGCUUGCUUCAGCUCCUGUCUGACCUUGCCCUUCAGCACAACAGUCUAAAGUUCACAAAGCCAGGAUGCCCCCGGAGGUGAAUGACACAACCUGUCAGCCCAGCCCUUGGAGCAGCCAAUGACCUGCCUAUCGAUGCGAAGGACAACUGCAAUGACAACUGCAAAGCUUGCAAGGCUGGGACGAUAAAUUUCUUCAGUGACAUCCAUCUUGAAGGCCUAGUCCUUGAAGUGAAUGGCGCAUAGAGUGCAGACUUAUCUUGCCACCACAACGAUGACUGCUCCAUAGCUCACAAGGCUGGGAUAGCAAGUCUCAUCGGAAGGCUGAUCGUGCAGGCCUAGCCCUUGAAACCACCAGCUGUGUGUCUGCCAAUAAUCUGUGCCUUCAUCGUGAUGGGCUCUCCAAGGUCUGCAAGGCUGGAACGCUGAGGUCAUCCCAUCUGAAAUUUGGAAGCUUUGCCCUUCAAGCAUCCAGUACCACCAUGGCAGUAUUAAAGAUGGGAGGAACUGCAAGGAUCACUAGUGUUUACUAACAAUUAUGUAGCAUCCUUGUCUGUGCACUCACAAGUGCCCUAGGGACCUAAAAGACUGAAAUAUGGGACAUUGAGUGGCUGAGAAUUAUGGGAAUAUUCUUGCACACUGACAUCAAAGAAAAGUAAUAGAAUACUUACAUCUAUGUCACAAAUAGUUGUUAAGUUCAACUUAGUUUGCUUUCAACGAGAGUGACGUAGAGGCUUGUGAAUACUUUGAAUUGGACAUCUGCUGCAGUAAAGUGAAGCUCGAGGUCCGAUUGACCAAAUUAGACAAAAAAGCGCGUUACACAUCCGCCAAGCCAACAGGGAUUUUAAUAAGCAGGCCAUAGAGCUGGGUUUGUUCACAUGACUAGAGGAUGCCCAUUGAUAAAGCUAAGUAACUCGGUCUAAAGAAUGCUGCAAGAAUUUAACACUACUUUAGUAGCGAUAUUCUCACAGCAAACAGAUGCGUUGCAGAAGCAACAGUCAUAGCUCCAGAAGCACAGAAACUCGGAGGCGAAUCUGAAUUUGUGCCACAAAAGCCAUUCUGUUCUCUGUCAGCAGGUCUGCUAUGCUGUGUCGGUCAAUGGGUGCUGUGUCUGCCCUGAAGACGGCGACAGCUUACCUUUAACUGGGACUGAUAGCCCAUCUAGCACCACUGCUAAAGUAAUGUUAAACAUUUAUCCUAAAGACAAAAACGCAAAACAAAGCAAGAGGGAGGGGGGGAUGAAGCUUGCAGAAAAACGAGACAAGGAUUCUUUGAGAUAAGGUGUGGCAGUCAUGAUCAGAACCAGAACGAUAAGUCAAAGGAGAGUUUUUGCACUUUCGUGUGUGAUCAAACGGACAGGCAUCAUACUGAAGGCGUCAAGAGGAGCACAAGGAUGAAGCAAAGGCACUUGGCAGCUUGGAAAGACAGUCACGCAAUUGAAUGCAGAAAAAUUGCGGGAAACAACUCAAGCACCCGAAUGCAAGAAAAGAGUGAAAAUAAUACGUUAUGUUAAAGAAAAAGGAUUUCCUUUUGAACACAAUAUUAAUAUAACACUGCCCCACUGUACGAUACAUCAAACAUUAUACACAGCUUCAAAAUUGCAUAACUGUGCAAACUCAGCCUGAAAUAGAUGGAAUAGAAUUUGUUCCUUGUGAGCAAAUCGGGAUUGUGGCUUGCAUAAGCUGAAUGUGUGCAGUUUUUGCUUAGCAGAAAGGUUAUUAAUUAGUCAAACUUCUAUAGUGGUGAACAAAAUAGGAGUUCGGCAAUGGGAAAGAAAAGAACAUUAACAUUUGUGUGCAGUAGUGUGAGAGUUAACGUGGGCAGAAGUGCAAUGUGUAAAUAGGGUCUAUUUUGGGCAGAUAUACCGAGAUAUAAAUUGCACUGGUAUUGUACUGAAUCAAGUUAUCUUGACAUGAAGCAAUAGCCUGCCCUUUAAUUUGCAUAGAUUUUGCCAUACAGUCUUGCAUGGCUGUUAGACUACUGCAUACUUUGGCAAAGCCAAAUAGCUGUCAUGCUAAAUGUCAUGUAUAAGGCAGCCAUGUAUGUCUAUCCACGAGAAGGCAUAUCUGUAUUUUAUGACUGUGCGCAAGUUUAUUGUUGACAGAUACCGUAUGUUGUGCAUAACAUAAAGUAUGUCCUUGCAUUCAUAAUGGACGGCAAUAUUUUUCAAUUCUACCCUGCCCCCUCACUCUAGGUCUUUGUCCAGAGAAGGAAUGCCCACUGCUUGAGUGCCCGUGACACAGUCGAUGCUGCUUCAAGCUUCAACAAUUGUUGUGUCAGUUACAGCUAUGCAAGCCAAUAUUUGCACCAAAAAGAUGUUACUUAGCUCCUUCAGGUUUUUUAAAUAAAGUACUUUACCAACAAAACUAUGCCCGGGGGCUGUCCCCCUUCGACUUUUCUUUGGCAUUUACAACACAUCCUAAGACCAUAAAUGCUUAUUCAAAGCACCCAAUACACUUUAGGCCGAACAUUGUCUGCAAAGUUCCAUUUGAAGAGGUACUGACAUGAUAUCUUCAAUUAUUCCUUUUUUUCUCUCAUUAAAUUAAGGCUUUAGAGCUCUAAAAAUAUAAUAACAAGCCUUGGAGUGGCGUGAUUUAGUAUAAUAGCUUUCCUGGAGCCGGUUUCAGUUUUGUUUUCUGGGAGGAUACUAUGUAGUGACAUCACAACACAGUAUGUGGUCAUGUGAGAAAAGGACAUUGCAAUGUUUUGACACUCUCUUGAGGCCUCCGGCUAGCUCAGUCGACUUGUGCACUGCAAAUUUUGAAGGUCAAUGUAGCAGCACAGUGGACGACUGAAUGAGCUAGAGCGAGUGUCAUAACAUCGUAAUGUCUUGCUCCCACAUGACCAUAUACUGUGUCGUGACAUCAAGGCAUAGUAUCCUCCUGGAAAACAAAAGUGGCUGUAAAGAAGCUACUAUAUUGAAUUAUUUACGGUGUUUUGAGGCUUCACCCCUCAAACGCUGUCUGUCGUCUUCUCUCCGCCACUCUUCAGCACUGAACUUCAUCCGACCAAACACCAGAGAAAAGAGUGAUGCUGAUACAGACACACAAGUUUUUUUGGCAGUGGAAUAUGUUAACUGGACAAACUGCUGCAAGCGUUGCAUAGCAACAUGCAUUGAAGCUGCUUUGUCAUGCGACUCUCACGCUACCUGCGUUGGAACCAGAUGGCUCACAUGAAAAGAUUCAGGUGUCUCAGCAGCAGCACACCCACCCGUUGUUGGUCACCUCCAUUUGAAAUUCAAAAGGAAGUUUCACACGAGUGUUCAUUUCGAAUCACCGAUAGCAAUACCUCACCUUGGCAUAGCCAACUACCUGUAAAAUACUUCACAUAACAUCAAUUUUCACAUUGCGUGGGAUUUACGCAAGUUUAUCUCAUAGUUUUCAUGUAGAGCCUUUUGGACCUUUAUGUGGGGGAUAAUAAAAUGGCUUUUCAAGUCUAGCUCCUCUGAAAUAUAUAUAAUUCGACACCUUGCAUGCUAAGCUGCAGCUUCUUAAGUCCCAAACUGGCAUCAAGAAAGCCAGGACUGUAAAAUGAUACUGGGCUGGACAAAUCAGUUUCCAAAGAUUUAUGUUACGUUCUUGACCUCCUUUCCAGAGUUCCUGUGAUAAGUUUGUGUGAAAAGACAUUCUCAAAGCUAACAUAUGUAGAGACCAGGCUGAGAAGCUUUAUGUCAAGAAUGGCUUAGCUGGCUGAUGGUGCCUUUGGUGGAGCAAUGAAUUGCAAUUUUUUUUAUGAUGUUAUGAAGAUAAAUAACACCAUAGCAUGCAGACUUAUGCUGCAGAAAGAAAGCAAGAAGCGAAUGAGUAAUUGCAAAGUGAUCUGCAUAUUGUAUCCCAGCUGUAUUGUGCAUGCCACAUUACCAGAGAAUCCUGCUGACCUUUAAUUAACCUUUCCAGCACAACAUGUCUUUAUCAAGCCAUACCUUUACAUUGGGUUGAUAUAUGCAGGGAUGCCCUUUCACCUUCAUGUAAGCUUAGCUCUGUCAACAGCAGAUGCACUAAAGCUGAACACUCUUGCUACCUACUUCACAUACUGCAACUGAAAUGAAGGAAACACAAGUCUUAACAGUAAACUUUUAAACAGUGCAUUUAAAUACUUGUGCAACCUUCUUUUUGGAAAGACCAUGUGGUGCCUAGAGAUGUAGCUUGACAAGUAAGAAACUGAUGUGCUUUUAUCUAAAAAUAGAAUUGAUUGAUGUUUUGUGGGACAGGGUGCCUGGUGUCUCAAUGAGCACACUUUAUGGCUGAGAAUAUUUUUGCCAUUGUGUCAGCUUUGAAAACUUGUCAGAAUCUUUAAUCUUGGUGCAUUAGAAAACACCUUGACACAAAAUGAAUGUAACCCUUGAUGUCAUUGAAAGAACAGUGCUGAAAACAAUUCGAUAAAUACAGCAGAAUGAAAUGCAGAGAACUUAGGUGGGAAAUAGGUAAGCAAUUUACCAACCACAUUAUCAAUGCAAGCAGCUGACACUUAAUAAAAUAAGAAAGCCCUGGAGCAAGUCUCUGGCUUGCAGUGCAAGACCUGUGCACACUUAUGAUGAUAUUGCAGUAUUCAUGGCAGGGACGGGACCAUUCAACCUUACGCACUGUAACACUCUGUAUAUCUCUCUGAAAUCUUCUUGUACCAACAUGUACAAACUGCAUGUUGCAAACAGCAAAAUCAUUGCUAUUGUCCUACAGACAGUUUCCAUGUUUAUUGGAUUCUCAUUUUAACAGCUGACUUUAAGCUUCCAUACUGAGAGCUGGACGAGUUAGUGCGUUUUUGAAAGAGUAGAAACAGUGCACAAAGUAUGAAGGACAGUGAAAACGCAACAGGAGCACUGACUUGCAACUGAAUUUUUUAUUCAGGUAUACAUACAAGAAUAAUAUGCACACACCAUGCAAUGUGAAAAAAAGCAAGCAAAUGAAGUGCAAACUAUUAAUCAUGAUUGACAUUGCUAGAAAACACAAGCAUGAGUGACGUCGUGAGUUAACUGCGACAUCAUACUAAAUCCAUGCAAAAAACCAUGUUAGAACUUACAUGGGCAUUAUGCGAUUCAAUGAAUUCAACAGUAUGCUUAUAACCUAUGUAUUCUAACAUUUUACUUGAAUAAGGUGCUAAGAAGAUCAAUCUAUAUAUAGCUACAAAUGCCUUAGUCACCAGAUUUGAAAAGCGGGAGGACUUUCGUUUGUUUCAGAGAUGAAAGAAUACCUGUUGUGGGAGAAUGCUGAGAAAUAACAGCGAUACUGAGGAGUCCAUUGGGAAUAAUAUAAUGUACCAACAUGCAUUAGGAAUUACGUCAGGAUCUCCAAAUUUAUUAAAUUUGCAGACAUACUUCUAUAUUUUAACAAUAUUAUUAAGGCAUACAAAUUUUAAAAAGAAAUGCCACUACGUUAGUAUUUGCCAUAGCAAAUGAUUUCCUAGGGGUGCAUGUACAAUGGCACCCAAUUGAAUAUUGUACAACUAAAGCUCUACCACAUGUGUUUGACCCCUGUUGAUUGCAAGUCGCACAAGCCUGUUCCCUUAGUGAGUGAAACUCAGUGAAAGAAACUUGGCCUUCUUUGUGGAGCAAAGACAGUUGGCAAAAAUGAAGCACACAAAGGUAGAGAGGUUUUGGUAUAGCCUGCACAGUGAAAGAUCCACUCAAGAUCCAGGUGCUGUACCGUAUCUUCAGAAGAUAAAGCAUUCAUCUAAACACAAGCACAGGGUGUAAAUGAUCGCACUCCGAUGCAUGUGAUACAUAAUGACAAUCACCACGAAAGCCUAUCGCAUUACUAUUACUUCCACAGGUAAUUUUCAUGGCUGCUAUGGAAUGGCUGUCUCGCUGCACCACAAUCUAUAGCAACUAAUACACUGGGAUUUCAAAUGGUUCAUGAAAGCGGGUUGGGCCCUGGCCAGACUGAAGCAGCGGCACUCGAGAGACACUUUUCAACGCCCAGCCUCGUGUGAGUCACUUGACACUCGUCACGGACACUUGCUGACAUUGCCUUCAGGCGGGAACAGGCCUUUCUGUUAGAUUCACGUUUCACGUCCAGGCUUUCGUUACUAGGCUUCUGCGUGCGUAAGGCGACGCGAAAUGUUUGAACGCACUUUGCUCAUCGACAAAAGGCGCCCUUACUUUGCACAGCGAUUUGGAAAUGUGUAUGCACCCUACAUCGACGUCAAUGCCGACGCGCACCACUUCUGCGUUUUCGAGCUCGAGAGCAGUGUGUCGACGUGGUGUCCAAGGCCAAAUAGGCAUCCGACUUUGCCAGAAGGCGUACACACAACUUAAAGAAUCGCUACAUACGACACACCCUGCAAUAUGCAUGAUCCGUGUCGGCACCAUAUGCAGUCGGCGCUGUGCUACCACGACUCUUCGAAACCGACAGUCCAAAUGAGGCGACAUGUCGUGCUGUUUCGUGGAUGCAGCACAGUUCGUUCGAAGCUUCUGUAGCUUCGUAACGGCAGCGUUAUUCGUACUCGCCGAUAUUACACAGUGACCAAAUAUGCAGUCGGCGCUGUGCUACCACGACUCUUCGAAACCGACAGUCCAAAUGAUGCGACAUGUCGUGCUGUUUCGUGGAUGCAGCACAGUUCGUUCGAAGCUUCUGUAGCUUCGUAACGGCAACGUUAUUCGUACUCGCCGAUUUGUGCACACCACACAGCCACAAGGAAUCGCAACGGUCCUC